UUCAUUUUAUUUUUAUAUUAUUUAUUUAUUCUUCCUUAGUUUCUUGAGAUUAUCAUCCGCUGAGGGUGGAAGGGGAGUGAGCAGACACACUCAGGAGGUGUCUUGAGAUUAUCAUCCGCUGAGGGUGGAGCUGAGGGUGGAAGGGGAGUGAGCAGACACUCGGGAGGUGUCUUGAGAUUAUCAUCCGCUGAGGGUAGAGCUGAGGGUGGAAGGGGAGUGAGCAGACACUCGGGAGGUGUCUUGAGAUUAUCAUCCGCUGAGGGUGGAAGGGGAUAGAGCACACACUCGGAAGGUGUCUUGAGAUUAUCAUCCGCUGAGGGUGGAAGGGGAUAGAGCACACACUCGGAAGGUGUCUUGAGGCUCAGGGAGUUAUCAAUUAUAGAAUGUUGUUG
RNAcentral lists this long non-coding RNA (392 nucleotides) under Homo sapiens (human). RNAcentral describes it as "HSALNT0228355". The record is from RNAcentral. Lineage: Eukaryota; Metazoa; Chordata; Mammalia; Primates; Hominidae.